RNAcentral lists this ribosomal RNA (208 nucleotides) under uncultured bacterium. RNAcentral describes it as "partial 16S ribosomal RNA". It matches the Rfam family "Bacterial small subunit ribosomal RNA", at positions 568 to 775 of the family's 1533-position model. The record is from RNAcentral.
UGCGCAGGCGGCAAAGCAAGUCGAGUGUGAAAGCCCCGGGCUUAACUUGGGAAUUGCGCUCGAAACUACUUUGCUGGAGUGUGGCAGAGGAAGGUGGAAUUCCACGUGUAGCGGUGAAAUGCGUAGAGAUGUGGAGGAACACCAAUGGCGAAGGCAGCCUUCUGGGCCAACACUGACGCUCAUGCACGAAAGCGUGGGGAGCAAAACA